This 495-nucleotide ribosomal RNA is filed under the name uncultured bacterium. Its description in RNAcentral is "partial 16S ribosomal RNA". It matches the Rfam family "Bacterial small subunit ribosomal RNA", at positions 28 to 507 of the family's 1533-position model. The record is from RNAcentral.
GACGAACGCUGGCGGCGUGCCUAAUACGUGCAAGUAGAACGCAGAGGGAGGAGCUUGCUUCUCUGGAUGAGUUGCGAACGGGUGAGUAACGCGUAGGUAACCUGCCUGGUAGCGGGGGAUAACUAUUGGAAACGAUAGCUAAUACCGCAUAAUAGCUGUUGUUGCAUGACAACUGUUUGAAAGGUGCAAUUGUACCACUACCAGAUGGACCUGCGUUGUAUUAGGUAGUUGGUGGGGUAACGGCGCACCAAGGCGACGAUAGAUAGCCGGCCUGAGAGGGGGGUCGGCCACAAUGGGACCGAGGAACGGGCCAGACUCCUACGGGAGGGAGCAGUAGGGAAUCUUCGGGAAAGGGGGGAAGUCUGACCGAGCAACGCCGGGUGGGUGAAGGAGGGUUUCGGGUCGUAAAGCUUUGUUGUAAGGGGAGAAAGAGUGUGGGAGUGGAAAGUUCACACUGUGACGGUAUCUUACCAGAAAGGGACGGCUAACUACGUG